CACGUAGGGGGCAAGCGUUGUCCGGAUUUAUUGGGCGUAAAGAGCUCGUAGGUGGUUCGGUAAGUCGGGUGUGAAACCUCCAGGCUCAACCUGGAGACGCCACCUGAUACUGCUGUGACUGGAGUCCGGUAGGGGAGCGUGGAAUUCCUGGUGUAGCGGUGAAAUGCGCAGAUAUCAGGAGGAACACCAGCGGCGAAGGCGGCGCUCUGGGCCGGUACUGACACUGAGGAGCGAAAGCGUGGGUAGCAAACAGG
RNAcentral lists this ribosomal RNA (254 nucleotides) under uncultured bacterium. Its description in RNAcentral is "partial 16S ribosomal RNA". It matches the Rfam family "Bacterial small subunit ribosomal RNA", at positions 524 to 776 of the family's 1533-position model. The record is from RNAcentral. RNAcentral also lists the same sequence under 1 other name.